AACGAACGCUGGCGGCAUGCCUAACACAUGCAAGUCGAACGAGACCUUCGGGUCUAGUGGCGCACGGGUGCGUAACACGUGGGAAUCUGCCCUUUGCUUCGGAAUAACAGUUAGAAAUGACUGCUAAUACCGGAUGAUGUCGAAAGACCAAAGAUUUAUCGGCAAAGGAUGAGCCCGCGUAGGAUUAGGUAGUUGGUGGGGUAAAGGCCUACCAAGCCGACGAUCCUUAGCUGGUCUGAGAGGAUGAUCAGCCACACUGGGACUGAGACACGGCCCAGACUCCUACGGGAGGCAGCAGUGGGGAAUAUUGGACAAUGGGCGAAAGCCUGAUCCAGCAAUGACGCGUGAGUGAUGAAGGCCUUAGGGUUGUAAAGCUCUUUUACCAGGGAUGAUAAUGACAGUACCUGGAGAAUAAGCUCCGGCUAACUCCGUG
Molecule: ribosomal RNA, 433 nt
Filed under: uncultured bacterium
Lineage: Bacteria
Description: partial 16S ribosomal RNA
Rfam family: Bacterial small subunit ribosomal RNA
Source: RNAcentral